UUGAGCAUUCCCAGAUAGUCAAUGCUCUGACAUAAAUACAAGGAUAUCCUUGAGUAAGGCUUACACAGUUUAUCCUUGUAUUUUUGCAAAGUGAACUGCUCGUCUUCUUUGUACCAAGAUAUUGUGUCUUCGACAGCAGAAUGGUCCGGGUAUAAGAGCUUAUAAAAUCUGGGAUCGUCAUGACGUACGAUCGUUUCGUUCAAACGGUGGUGUUUCUCCAGUGCCUUUGCCAAGAGAAUAUCUUCACUAUCGCUAGGGCUCACCACAAUGAAUAGAUUGCAGUACCUUUUUGACGACAGGCUACCGUCCUCAAUGGCCAUGAGCACCCCGACAUUGAUCUUUACUUCCUUGGGGACCGAUACCUCUUUUUACUUUCGCUUCACUGGCUUAUCAGCGGAGAAAUGCUGCUCUUUGCGCUUCCUAAAAGAGGGUUGACCAACACUGUCUCAUAUUGGCCAUUGGCCAUUUCGAAAUGGCCAUUUGUCAAGCACUAGUGGUAAUAUAAUGGUAAUAUAACACUGUAACAUAGGAGCUAUUCAGAAUUAGAAGUACCAAGGCCAAGAGAUAGGGCUAAUACAAUCGUGUAUAUGGUGAAAAGUUAGAGGGAGGGGUGUUCCACCAUAAAUAGCAGACAGUCAACACUGCAAGUACCAUGGCAAAGGCAUAGGCUAUGUGGCAAGUGGUGGAAAUGGUGGAUAUAGUGAAAAGUAAGGGGGAGAGGUGGUCAGCCAUACAUAUAGCAGACAGUCAACACUGCAAGUACCAUGGCCAAGGCAUAGGGCUAUGUGGCAAAUGGUGGAUAUGGUGAAAAGUAAGGGGGAGGGGUGGUCCAUCAUACAUAGCAGACACAUAGCAUUGCAAGUACCAAGGCCAAGGCAUAAGGCUACGUGGCAAAUGGUGGAUGUGGUGAAAAGUAAGGGGGAGGGGUGGUGCACCACACAUAUAGCAGACAGUCAACACUGCAAGUACCAUGGCCAAGGCAUAGGGCUAUGUGGCAACAAACAACAACAAAGUGGGAAGGUUCUAUCUAGACAUGACAAAGGAUGACCAUAUCUAGGAUAUGAUAUCAAAUUGCAACAUGGUAUUAGUUUGAAAUACAACUGUUUACUGUUACUGGUCUUCUUCCACCCUUCGCUUUUUGGGUGUUGGCUUGCUUUCCUCUUGCCUUUGUUUGAGGUAGUCCUCGUGGUGCAUAUUGCUGUAGUCAAGAAGAAGUAAAAGUUUAAGUUUUUUUUUUUAAUUUCCUGUUUUCAGGGGGGCUUUUUACUAAAUAUGUGAUAACUGUAAUGUUUCAUUAACGCCAAUGUUUCCUUUUUAUAAGAUUCCAUUAUGAUUUUUAGACACAGGAUCAUAAUUAAAUGCUUUAUUGUCACAAAUGAUGGGUCAUUUUCUUGUAUAUAAUUAUUGCUUCAUGAAAAUUGGCGUGCUGCAGCGUUUUUGUAGCUACUGCGCAUGUGCGAGUAGCUACUAUGUCAUCACGCAGAAAAAGAAAAAAUAUAUAACGUUUGGCCGCGGGGUUUGCUGGGAAAAUUUGAACUCGGAUACACUUCGGGAUAUGAUCGUUACGAUGCGCCAGACUAGAAUCACUUUAUAAAGAAAAAAUAUAUCUAAAUAAUCAAAAGCUUUUGACAUACUCGACUUGUGCUUUAGAACGGUUUAAUACAAGCAGUACAAAAAUUAUUUUAGUAUCCUUCUUUUUGCUAGCGUUGGCUUCGUGGCUAAGUGGUUAAGGUCGUUGUAUCUGAUUUCGUAGGUUGCGGAAUCCUUCCACUGGAUAUUUUCUUUUUUUUUUCCCAGCAUAUCUUUCCUGCUUAUCAAUUUAAGAGCUAGGCCUAUCAUCAUUUACUCUUAGAUUGUUGCUGGUUGUGACUUGGGUGACUUUGCCCAAGCCCGCUAUGUUGAGUUCCAUGGCAAUUUUAAGUAGCCUUUCUUUCGCGGACAGGUCAGACUCCUUCCCUCUUGCCCUGAAGACACUCUUCCUUGUGAGAAGGGAAAGGCUUGUCACCUCCCCCUUCUCUAACUGCUGUUUGGUCUUCUUCCGACUGGGUGGCGGGGGUGGUGUCUCCCUCUGACUCACUUGUAUCAUCAUUAUUGGCUAUGGCUUUACCCACAAUUUGACCUACAAAAAGGGGGGGUUGUCAUAGCAGGAAUUGCACAACUUGUUUUAAAGUGUGUUAUUUGCCUGUAACUAUAUAUGGGAGUAAAAUUCAACAGCCUUGUAUGCAUGCUUGUACUAAAGAAUAUUUAAUAUAGGAAGUGGUAUUAUAGCAGUCCAAGUGUGAUACAAGAUGUAGUCUAUUAUACCAAGACAAUGGGUUAGUCUAUUUUUAGUUGAAAACAUUUAGCAUUUAGAUAAAUCUUGGUGGCUAUUAUGGAUUUACCUUAAUAGGGUAGUUCUUCUAUUAAUGUUUUUUUAAUUUUCAUCUGCAAAAAUAACCUUUAACUUUGGAUGGUUAUUUGCCCCAGUAAAUAUCUUAAAAUAUUUGUCCUAGAGGACAAGUGGUUGCUCUAAGUAUCUCAAACGGGUAUAUCAGCUAAAGCACCAUAAAUCUUUUUUGAAUAAUUGUCCAUCAUGGUAUACACAUGUUAGGUACUUACAAAAUUGAUUGAGACUUGUCUCAACAAGCGAAAUUGCUACUUCCUCCGCGGUGUAUGACAGUACAUGGGCAGGCCUUUCUGGCUCUUGUUCAUCAUUGUCAGCUUCGUGGGAGGCACUCUCAGCUAGGCCAUACAAUACAAUACAAUAAUACAAUACAAUAAUUUAUUUUCCGUCGAUGACGUGAGGAGUGGUCACCCAGUCUCCCGAGCUCGGGGAGCUCAUGGUACAAACGCUCGACAACACUACUGACAACGAUUACAUUACACAUUACAUAAUAAUUCUAAUUAUGGGAAUUAGGGAGAAUUUAAAUACAGUUGCUGCAUUGGCAGCCAUGUGGAAUGAUGUCGGGUAGGUUCUUGCGGAACUCAGAGACGGAAUUAGCAGCUUUAGCAGAGUUAGGUAGUUGGUUCCAAAAAUGUGAUAUUAGGUAGUAAAAAGAGUUAUGCAUAUAUAACGAUUGAUAGGAUGGCUGUAUAAGAUUAUGAACAGAAGAGCGCAAAUUGUACUGUGAAGACCGGGUUACAAAGAAGUUGGCAAUAUAAGUAGCCUGUUGCAUCCUAUAUGAUUUAAAAAAUAAUAGAAGAGCCUGAACUUGUCGCCUAUGCUCAAGUUUACGCAUAUUGGAUAUAGCUAAACAGUUUUCAUUCAAUGACGAUCUACCUAGAUUAAGAAGUGUCCUUAAACUAUAAUAGUUAGACUUCUCUAGCCUGUCCUUCUGAGUCUUCGUAGCCCCGAGGAGCAGAGGAGAGCAGUAUUCGAGGUGAGGGACGAGUCCAGUGUGACGCCCAGUAUUUUCAACGUUGUCUCAACUUUGAUGUGGUCGGGACCGGGAGAUCGUACUCGUAGCCACUCUUCCUACCAAGCACCAUUGCCUGCGUCUUGCUGGUAUUAAUGCCGAGGUAAUUGCUGGAGAACCAGUCAUUUAUUCGAGUGAUAUCUCCGUUCAUGGCAAAUUCCAUGGCUACCGGGCAGGUGCUUGCGUAGUACUGCGUAGUGUCGUCCGCAUAUAAUCGCAGUGACGAUUGGAGGGCACUGUAAUUUAGAUCGUUUAUAAAGAUGUUAAAGAAAAGCGGACCCAGUAGACUUCUCUGGGGUAUGCCACAGUGGAUUUCAAGCCAGUCAGACACGGCCCCAUUACAGCGAACGCGUUGGAAUCUUCCAGUGAGAUAGGACUGGAUGGUCUUUAAUGCUGCAGGGGAAACUCCGUAUGCUGACAACUUGGCUAGGAGGAGAUUGUGGCAGAUCGAAUAAAAUGCCUUAGACAAAUCGAUUGCGACCACGCCCACGCUCUCCCUCUUGUCGAGUGAAGCCCGCCAGUCCUCAGUCAACUUAAAAUAGCGUCCCGCUGAAUUUUACUUCAUCAUCAUUAUUAUCAUUCUCGUGGUCGUCUCACUGUCUCCGAUGUGUCCAUAGAUUCAACUUUCAUGACAUCAAUUAAAAUCUGUACUGGAACUGCUA
Molecule: long non-coding RNA, 4057 nt
Organism: Nematostella vectensis (starlet sea anemone)
Lineage: Eukaryota; Metazoa; Cnidaria; Anthozoa; Actiniaria; Edwardsiidae
Exons: 2
Source: RefSeq, a predicted model, not a curated record